GUCCAGGUCAGUUUGGUCCCAGGGGGCCACAAGGGCCUAGUGGGGGACAGGGUGCUCUGGGCAGACCAGGUGGGGCUGGACAACCAGGGGUAAAUGGAGAGAAGGGGGAGGAUGGAGAAUCGGGAGACCCAGGACCCGUUGGUGUAUCAGGAGGCAGCGGGGAUAUAGGUGACCAGGGGGAGAAGGGGGGGGA
This is a long non-coding RNA of Oncorhynchus gorbuscha (pink salmon), 193 nucleotides long. RefSeq lists it as uncharacterized. NCBI's taxonomy places the organism in Eukaryota, Metazoa, Chordata, Actinopteri, Salmoniformes, Salmonidae. The record is from RefSeq and is a predicted model, not a curated record. The transcript is spliced from 4 exons.